GUUUUAGUAUAAGUAUGUUCCAUGCAAUAUUUGAGAUGUAAUUAUACUAAAA
This 52-nucleotide microRNA precursor is filed under the name Equus caballus (horse). RNAcentral's name for it is "mir-1302 microRNA precursor family". It matches the Rfam family "mir-1302 microRNA precursor family". The record is from Rfam by way of RNAcentral. Lineage: Eukaryota; Metazoa; Chordata; Mammalia; Perissodactyla; Equidae.